Long non-coding RNA from Lycium barbarum (goji berry), 1487 nucleotides. RefSeq lists it as uncharacterized. The transcript is spliced from 3 exons. Lineage: Eukaryota; Viridiplantae; Streptophyta; Magnoliopsida; Solanales; Solanaceae. The record is from RefSeq and is a predicted model, not a curated record.
CGGAAUUGAAGUUAAACCAAUCGAAGAAAAUAAGUUUCGUCGAAGUUCAAAAUUUAUUUAAAUGGAAUACGUUCCGAGCUAUAAUAUCUCGUAUUUUUGGACUAGAAAAUUUAAUCGUCCAACAUGAGCAAAUUUACCCGAGUCCGGAAAAAUUCGAUCUUAUCCAAGGAUGAAAAUCAAGAACUCGAUGUAUACAAGGAAUGAAGUCCCGAAAAGAUUUAAGACGAAAAAGUGUGCCGACGAUGAUUGAAAAUAAUAUUUUAUGUGUGGCAAAUGAGGUUAUGGACUAGUGUUAUAUAACAUGGCCAUGACAAUGGGCAUAAGGAAUGCAUGUUUAAGUAAAUCGAGACUAAGAAAUUAAUUAUGUGUGUAGUUGGUUAAAUUGGAUUUUAGUGGGUGAUUUAAUUAGUGGAUUUGGGAAUAAUAAUUAGUACGGAUUUUAUCUAGCAUGUGGCAGCAAGAGGAAUCAAUAUGAAAGGUGGCACCACAUGAAAGCAAUAUAGAUAUAGGUGGCACAAUUUGAAAACAAAUGGCAAGGUAUUAACUAAGUGGGGCCUACAUCCCAUGAAUUGUUGCAAUUCUACUUUAAUGUUGGAUGAGAUUUGUAUCUCAUAAGGAACAUCUCGGUGGCAGCAACGUUACAAUAAGAGAAAGGCGUAUACAUAUGUGUUAUUCAUCUAAAUCGUGGGACUUUCUUACGAGGAUAUGGCAGCAACCUUUUCCAAAUAUGAAGUAAUAGUUAACUAUCCCUCUUGAGAAUACUUCAUAGGCAUCAAGUAAGAAUGGAGCAGCAACGUUUGACUGUAUAUAUAGAGAUAUACAUAUAUAUAUUUCCAUCUCAAUCUAUGAAGGAAGGGCAGCAAUGUUUGAAGGGAGAAAAUCCUAUUUCGCUGAAGCAAAACGCGAAAAACGAAAAAAAGGUUAUACCCCACAUCGGUUUCCUCCACAUAAUAGCAAAUCGGAGAUUUCUUCAAAGAGAAGUAAGGUGGAAGAGGAAUAGUUCUUGGCAUAUAUGGCUAAAGGAGCGACGAAGUAAGCUUGGUUGUGGUUGAUCUACGACAGGGGGCUGCGUUUCAUGCCCGCAGGUACAGAUAGUUGGUUUGGCGACCCUUCAGCAUAGGAUUUCUACUCAGCUGUUCUGGAGAGCUCCGUUGUUCCGGAGUCUAGACCUUUGGUUCAGAUCUUAUAGUGUAUAUGUAUAUGUUUAUCCAGGGGUACGGCGGGGCCUUGUCCCGUCAUAUUUCGCUAUCGAUACUCUUAAAGGUCUGUAGACAUAUGUGUGGGUUAUGUAUCGAUGUUGUUCAGUUGUGUCUAUCUGGCUUAUGUUUUGGGACGUUCCCAUUCGUAGUGGCAGCCUUGUCGGCUUGCGUAGAUAUAUAUAUAUAUAUAUAUAUGUUUUGAGAAGUAAUGUAUUAUGAUAGCCUUGUCGGCUCGUUUAUGGCAGGGAUGUUCCCUUAUAUAUUAUGAAAGCCUUGUCGGCUUAUGUA